GUGUGUUGGGGUAUCCAGGACUGGCUGAGGUGGGAGUGCUGGGUUCUGAUGAUGGGAAGGUGCACAGAUAUCUGGAGUUCAGAACUGCCUCCUGGUUGAAGAUGAAUGCCAGAAACAGUACCUGUCCCAGAAGACGUGUUGCCUCUGCAGUCUGCAUGCUCACCUGCACAGACUGGUCUCCGAGGGACCCGGGACACAAGAUGGCUCUCUCACCUGCUCUGGUGGUCAGAGUCCUCCAGGGUGGACACCUCUCCUCUGGCGGGGAAGGUGCCCAGGUGUCUGGAGCCUGAAAUAUGGUCUGUUCCAGAAGCUGUGUUGCUUCUGUCUGUCCCAGAAGCUGUGUUGCUUCUGCAGUCUGCACUCUUACCUGCGCAGAUUGGUCUCUGAGGGACCCGGGACCCAAGAUCUUGAGGUUGUAUCUUACAUAUAUUUAUGGGUCUUAUUGAUAGUUUUAUUGCAGUUCUUGGGGAUUUAGUCUAGGGCCUUGUGUAUUUUAGCCAACUGUUCUACAACCAACUAACACCCCAAGUCCUAGCUUUGUUUGUUUGUUUGUUUUUUUAUACAUCUAUUCAGCCACUAUAUGUUUUGUGUUCCAUGCAUGGAUGCAUGCCUCCAUCCCUGUCCCCCUUCCCCUCCCCCACUUUUUUCUCUGUGUGUACCUCAUAACCCAGGGUUUCCUUCAUGCUAAGCAGGCACUUAGCUACAUGGUAAGUAGGCACCGAACUAUAUCUCCAACCUCUGGUUGGGUAAUUUAUAUUUAUAUUCAGAAUAAUUAUCGAGAGGGAAGACCUCCCACUAUUUUGUUUAAAUCUUUCUAGAUGUUUUGUAGUUUCUUUCAUUAUCUCCCUCAUUUCCUUCCUUCCUUCCUUUCUCUUGUCUUUUUUUUUUUUUUUUUUUUUUUUUUGGUGAUAAGGUGAUCUUCUCUAUCACUAUGCUGCAAUUUUUUUUCGUAUCUUUUGUGUACCUACUAUAGGUUUUGACUUUGUGUUUAUCAUGAAGCUUUCUCUAAAACAUCUUGUAGUUAUAACAGGUUAUAAUAAAUUAAUAAGUUAUCUGAUUGCACAAAAACUUCUAGAUUUUUACUUUUAUAUUUUUUGCUCCUGUUUUAUUUUAUUUUAUUUUUUAAUGUUACAGUGUAAAUUUUGGCAUUGUAUAAUUUUAACACAUUCUUGUGGAUAUUAUUUUUAAUAGUAUACUGUCAUUAUUUUACUGCAAUCACUCAUGUUAAUGUGAUGACAAGCAUCUACAAUUCUAGUAUUUCUAUCUAGAGGUUGGAAAGAUGGAAAGAGGAGAAACUUGUGGUACGGUUAUCCCCAGCACACAUUGCAGUGGCAGAAACAAUAUGAGAGACUUGUCUCAGGAAGGUAGAAAGAGAGAACUAACUUCCAAAACUUGUCCUUUUACUGCCACACUUAGGUCAUAGAACCCAUGUGCAUCAUAAUAAUUGUGAAGUCAAAACUUAUAUUAGAUACAUAAAGGAUAAGAAAUAAGGAAUUAAAUCAUACUAAUAGAUAAGAUCACCUUAUCACACACAUACAAAAAAAUGACAACAACAAAGGAAGAAAAAGAGUGAGGAGGGGUCAAGGAAGAGACUACCAAAAACCCCACAAAACAUUUAACAGAAUAGUGGUGGGAGGUCCUUCCAUUUCAGUAAUUAUACUGAAUGUAAAUAUAAAUUACCCAACCAGAGACUGGGGAUGUGGUUUAGUGCCUACUUAGCAUGUAGUUAAAUAAGUGUGUGUGUGUAAUAAAAAAUAACUGGAAAAAUAUGAUUAAAGCCCUCAAUGUAACAGCUUUGCUGUAAUAAGAGCCCUUCUAUCGCUUACCACUCCAAGCCUCACCCUUGUCAAAGAAAUGUGCAUGUCCAGGUCAGUGGGGAUUGUAUUUUUAACAUUUCCCAAUAUAGCCUCUAGUCAGCCAAGCUCUGAUCUGGGCAGUGUAUGUGUUAUUCCCAGGUAACAAUUAGCUUUUUUUACUGAGUGGUCUACCUAAAAUGUUUUGUUUUCAGUAUAUAUAUAUAUAUAUAUAUAUAUACAUAUAUAUAUAUAUAUAUGAUGGAAAUAGUAUAUGAUUAUAUUUACAACUACUGAGGAAUGGAAUUUCAACAUAGCAUUAUGGCAACACAGUUUAACCCUUAAUAGUUGUUGUAUGAUUUGUAGAUUGUUGAGGAAGACAUGCAUUACAUUGUAAUAUUACAGUGGCUUAGAUGAGAAAUAUAUCUCAGAGGCACAAAUAUUUGAUCACUUGGUUCUUUGUUGGUGUCAUUGUUUGGGGAACUUAUGUAUCUUUUACGUCCUGUAGCUUUGCUAUACUGCUCCAGUCACAUGCUGCCAUGCUUAACCACCACGAUGGACUUAACUCUUUGAAGGAACCAUAAACCAAAAUAAACUCUUCCAUAAGUUGCUUUUUUAAUAGUGUUUUUCACAGCAACAGGAAAGUAGCUAAUACAAAUAUAUAGCAGAACAGUAUUCCAUUUCCUUUCAUAUUUCUAUGGAUGUGUGCUUCUACAAUCUUAGAAGAUAUCUGACUGAGUACGGUAGAAACUGCCACUGCUUCCUAAGUGCUGGGAUUACUCAAAGAUGUUUUGCCUAUGUUUUCUUCUAGCAGUUUUAGUAUUUCAGGUUUCACUUUUAGGUCUUUAAUACAUGACUGCCUAAACAUGAUCUGAUCAAAGGCAAUAACAGUAGACAUGCUAACACGGUUGGGGGAAAGUUCAUGAGACCCCAAUUCCAGACAAAGAACUACAGACAGAAAGGAAUUCUGAGAGUAGAAGUGUCUUAGACAGGGUUUCUAUUCCUGGACAAAACAUCAUGACCAAGAAGCAAGUUGGGGGGUGGGGAAGCGUUUAUUUAGCUUACACUUCCAUACUGCAAGGAAGUCAGGACUGGAACUCAAGCAGGUCAGAAAGCAGAAGCUGAUGCAGAGGCCAUGGAGGGAUGUUACUUACUGGCUUGCUUCCCCUGGCUUGCUCAGCCUGCUCUCUUAUAGAACCAAGACUACCAGCCCAGAGAUGGCACCACCCACAAGGACCCUUCCCCCUUGAUCACUAAUUGAGAAAAUGCCUUACAGUUGGAUCUCAUGGAGGCAUUUCCCCAACUGAAGCUCCUUUCUCUGUGAUAACUCCAGCCUGUGUCAAGAUGACACAAAACUAGCCAGUACAGGAAGAGAUGGUCUUCCCGUGGAUGAGCAUACCAGUUAGAUUAUCCAAUAUAAAUGGUCAGCCCUGAAAACAUAUACAAGUACCAUUAUACAGACUGAGUAGGUUGUAUUUAUGUAUUUAUUCCAUCAAAUUGAAAGAGAGCAAACAGGGAAGUACAUGGGGAUGAUUUUAGGGAGUGAUGAGAAGGGGAAAUGAUGUGAUUUAUAAUCUCAAAAAAUAAAAUUGUUUUUUAUUCUGCA
This is a long non-coding RNA of Mus musculus (house mouse), 3399 nucleotides long. RefSeq annotates it as predicted gene 15384. The transcript has 2 exons. NCBI's taxonomy places the organism in Eukaryota, Metazoa, Chordata, Mammalia, Rodentia, Muridae. The record is from RefSeq and is a predicted model, not a curated record.